CCGCGCAGCCGGGGAGAUAGCGGUGCCCUGUACCUGCAAUCCGCUCUAGCAGGGGUGAUGUCUUACCCCGGGUAUGUUAUUGCAGAGCUGCCCUUUGUAAGUGGCGAUGACGUUUGGGUCUUACGCAACGGGAAUUCAUGAACCGUGUCAGGACAGGAAUGUAGCAGCACUAAGUGAAACCUUCCGUGUGCCGUGAGGCUGCCUGGACUGAGUUAACUGCAGAGGUAACGUCUGUGAUAGCUAUUCAAAGUAAGACGCGCGG
The sequence is a non-coding RNA, 262 nucleotides long. It matches the Rfam family "Bacterial large signal recognition particle RNA". From Rfam's summary of the family: The signal recognition particle (SRP) is a universally conserved ribonucleoprotein involved in the co-translational targeting of proteins to membranes. Archaeal SRP consists of a 7S RNA and homologues of the eukaryotic SRP19 and SRP54 proteins. The record is from Rfam.